CUUGCAGGAAUGAGAGUUAAUAUAAUUAGUUUAUUAACUUGCUUGACUAGGUCUUAUAAAGUUCUGGAUAAAGCUUAUUAUGAAAACUUUAUAUCCAUAGGUCUCGACCAAAUCUUGUGCCAGCAGUCGCGGUAAGACAAGGGAGACGAGUGUUAUUCAUCUUUAACAGGUAUAUAGGGUACCUAGACGGUGUGCAAUGGCUUAUAUAAGUACCUGGUACACUUGAGUUUGAUAUGUGAGAGGAAUAUGUCGGAAUUGUUGGAGGAGAGAUGAAAUUUGUUGAUACCAAUAGGACUGGUAACGGCGAAGGCAAACCUCUAUGUACAUGUACUUGCGAUUUCUAAUGUAGAAGAAAUUUCUCUCGAUAAGUUUAAAGAGGAAAUAAGCAAUGUGCUAUAACUGACGUUGAGGGACGAAGGCUCAGAUAGUGAAGAGGAUUAGAUACCCCCGUAACCUGGGCAGACAAUGAUGAGUGCCAUAGGUUGGCUUUAAGCCGGAACUAUAAAUGAAAGUGGAAGCACUCCACCUCAAGAGUAAUGUGGCAACGCAGGAACUGAAAUCAUUAGACCGUUUCUGAAACCAGUAGUGAAGUAUGUUAUUUAAUUCGAUGAUCCGCGAAUAACCUUACCACAAUUUGAAUGACCUAAAAUAUGCUUAGCCUAGGGUUAUUAACCCUAGCUUAGACAGUUUUAGACCACAUGCGUUGCAUGGCUGUCUUCAGUUAAUGUCGUGAGAUUUGGUUAGGUCCAUUAAAUUAACGUAAACCCUUGUUUUAUUUAUUAAAAUAAAGCAGCUCUCCGCUUACAAUUGGAUAUGAUAAUAGGGAGUAAG
RNAcentral lists this ribosomal RNA (831 nucleotides) under Pyrenophora phaeocomes. Its description in RNAcentral is "mitochondrial SSU rRNA". It matches the Rfam family "Bacterial small subunit ribosomal RNA", at positions 400 to 1172 of the family's 1533-position model. Lineage: Eukaryota; Fungi; Ascomycota; Dothideomycetes; Pleosporales; Pleosporaceae. The record is from RNAcentral.